GACGAACGCUGGCGGCGUGCCUAAUACAUGCAAGUAGAACGCUGAAGAGAGGAGCUUGCUCUUCUUGGAUGAGUUGCGAACGGGUGAGUAACGCGUAGGUAACCUGCCUGGUAGCGGGGGAUAACUAUUGGAAACGAUAGCUAAUACCGCAUAAAAUUGAUUAUUGCAUGAUAAUUAAUUGAAAGAUGCAAUUGCAUCACUACCAGAUGGACCUGCGUUGUAUUAGCUAGUUGGUGAGGUAACGGCUCACCAAGGCGACGAUACAUAGCCGACCUGAGAGGGUGAUCGGCCACACUGGGACUGAGACACGGCCCAGACUCCUACGGGAGGCAGCAGUAGGGAAUCUUCGGCAAUGGGGGGAACCCUGACCGAGCAACGCCGCGUGAGUGAAGAAGGUUUUCGGAUCGUAAAGCUCUGUUGUAAGAGAAGAACGGGUGUGAGAGUGGAAAGUUCACACUGUGACGGUAUCUUACCAGAAAGGGACGGCUAACUACGUGCCAGCAGCCGCGGUAAUACGUAGGUCCCGAGCGUUGUCCGGAUUUAUUGGGCGUAAAGCGAGCGCAGGCGGUUAGAUAAGUCUGAAGUUAAAGGCUGUGGCUUAACCAUAGUAUGCUUUGGAAACUGUUUAACUUGAGUGCAGAAGGGGAGAGUGGAAUUCCAUGUGUAGCGGUGAAAUGCGUAGAUAUAUGGAGGAACACCGGUGGCGAAAGCGGCUCUCUGGUCUGUAACUGACGCUGAGGCUCGAAAGCGUGGGGAGCAAACAGGAUUAGAUACCCUGGUAGUCCACGCCGUAAACGAUGAGUGCUAGGUGUUAGGCCCUUUCCGGGGCUUAGUGCCGCAGCUAACGCAUUAAGCACUCCGCCUGGGGAGUACGACCGCAAGGUUGAAACUCAAAGGAAUUGACGGGGGCCCGCACAAGCGGUGGGGCAUGUGGUUUAAUUCGAAGCAACGCGAAGAACCUUACCAGGUCUUGACAUCCCUCUGACCGCUCUAGAGAUAGAGUUUUCCUUCGGGACAGAGGUGACAGGUGGUGCAUGGUUGUCGUCAGCUCGUGUCGUGAGAUGUUGGGUUAAGUCCCGCAACGAGCGCAACCCCUAUUGUUAGUUGCCAUCAUUGAGUUGGGCACUCUAGCGAGACUGCCGGUAAUAAACCGGAGGAAGGUGGGGAUGACGUCAAAUCAUCAUGCCCCUUAUGACCUGGGCUACACACGUGCUACAAUGGCUGGUACAACGAGUCGCAAGCCGGUGACGGCAAGCUAAUCUCUGAAAGCCAGUCUCAGUUCGGAUUGUAGGCUGCAACUCGCCUACAUGAAGUCGGAAUCGCUAGUAAUCGCGGAUCAGCACGCCGCGGUGAAUACGUUCCCGGGCCU
Molecule: ribosomal RNA, 1369 nt
Filed under: uncultured bacterium
Lineage: Bacteria
Description: bacterial SSU rRNA
Rfam family: Bacterial small subunit ribosomal RNA
Source: RNAcentral